Strigops habroptila (Kakapo) is the source of this 110-nucleotide long non-coding RNA. RefSeq lists it as uncharacterized. NCBI's taxonomy places the organism in Eukaryota, Metazoa, Chordata, Aves, Psittaciformes, Psittacidae. The transcript has 3 exons. The record is from RefSeq and is a predicted model, not a curated record.
UUUCAAUGCUUUGCUCUGAUGUUCAGCCACAGGAUAUUUCUAAAAGCAGCGUAUCUCUUAGGUCUAAUCUCAACUUUAUACCCAGAUUGUAAAACAAAUAAACUAAAGAA